RNAcentral lists this ribosomal RNA (996 nucleotides) under uncultured bacterium. Its description in RNAcentral is "bacterial SSU rRNA". It matches the Rfam family "Bacterial small subunit ribosomal RNA", at positions 356 to 1376 of the family's 1533-position model. The record is from RNAcentral.
GGGGGAUAUUGCACAAUGGGGGAAACCCUGAUGCAGCGACGCCGCGUGGAGGAAGAAGGUUUUCGGAUUGUAAACUCCUGUCAUUAGGGACGAUAAUGACGGUACCUAACAAGAAAGCACCGGCUAACUACGUGCCAGCAGCCGCGGUAAAACGUAGGGUGCAAGCGUUGUCCGGAAUUACUGGGUGUAAAGGGAGCGCAGGCGGACCGGCAAGUUGGAAGUGAAAACUAUGGGCUCAACCCAUAAAUUGCUUUCAAAACUGCUGGCCUUGAGUAGUGCAGAGGUAGGUGGAAUUCCCGGUGUAGCGGUGGAAUGCGUAGAUAUCGGGAGGAACACCAGUGGCGAAGGCGACCUACUGGGCACCAACUGACGCUGAGGCUCGAAAGCAUGGGUAGCAAACAGGAUUAGAUACCCUGGUAGUCCAUGCCGUAAACGAUGAUUACUAGGUGUUGGAGGAUUGACCCCUUCAGUGCCGCAGUUAACACAAUAAGUAAUCCACCUGGGGAGUACGACCGCAAGGUUGAAACUCAAAGGAAUUGACGGGGGCCCGCACAAGCAGUGGAGUAUGUGGUUUAAUUCGAAGCAACGCGAAGAACCUUACCAGGUCUUGACAUCCGAUGCAUAGUGCAGAGAUGCAUGAAGUCCUUCGGGACAUCGAGACAGGUGGUGCAUGGUUGUCGUCAGCUCGUGUCGUGAGAUGUUGGGUUAAGUCCCGCAACGAGCGCAACCCUUAUUGCCAGUUACUACGUAAGAGGACUCUGGCGAGACUGCCGUUGACAAAACGGAGGAAGGUGGGGAUGACGUCAAAUCAUCAUGCCCUUUAUGACCUGGGCUACACACGUACUACAAUGGCGUUUAACAAAGAGAAGCAAGACCGCGAGGUGGAGCAAAACUCAAAAACAACGUCUCAGUUCAGAUUGCAGGCUGCAACUCGCCUGCAUGAAGUCGGAAUUGCUAGUAAUCGCGGAUCAGCAUGCCGCGGUGAAUACGUUCCCG